RNAcentral lists this ribosomal RNA (249 nucleotides) under uncultured Catonella sp. RNAcentral describes it as "partial 16S ribosomal RNA". It matches the Rfam family "Bacterial small subunit ribosomal RNA", at positions 92 to 339 of the family's 1533-position model. Lineage: Bacteria; Bacillati; Bacillota; Clostridia; Lachnospirales; Lachnospiraceae. The record is from RNAcentral.
CCAGUGGCGGACGGGUGAGUAACGCGUGGGUAACCUGCCCCGUACAGGGGGAUAGCGUCGGGAAACUGACGGUAAGACCGCAUAGGACCACAUAUUCGCAUGGAUAAGUGGUGAAAAGGGAAACCUGGUAUGGGAUGGACCCGCGUCCGAUUAGCCAGUUGGCAGGGUAAAGGCCUACCAAAGCUUCGAUCGGUAGCCGGACUGAGAGGUCGGACGGCCACAUUGGGACUGAGACACGGCCCAGACUCC